This 494-nucleotide ribosomal RNA is filed under the name uncultured bacterium. Its description in RNAcentral is "partial 16S ribosomal RNA". It matches the Rfam family "Bacterial small subunit ribosomal RNA", at positions 28 to 507 of the family's 1533-position model. The record is from RNAcentral.
GACGAACGCUGGCGGCGUGCUUAACACAUGCAAGUCGAACGGUGAAGCGCCUUCCUUUUUGGUGGGUGUGGAUGAGUGGCGAACGGGUGAGUAACACGUGAGUAACCUGCCCCCUUCUUCUGGAUAACCGCAUGAAAGUGUGGCUAAUACGGGAUAUUCUGGGUCUGUCGCAUGAUGGGUCUGGGAAAGAUAUUGUUUCGGUGGGGGAUGGGCUCGCGGCCUAUCAGCUUGUUGGUGGGGUGAUGGCCUACCAAGGCGGUGACGGGUAGCCGGCCUGAGAGGGUGGACGGUCACACUGGGACUGAGACACGGCCAAGACUCCUACGGGAGGCAGCAGUGGGGAAUAUUGCACAAUGGGCGCAAGCCCGAUGCAGCGACGCCGCGUGAGGGAUGGAGGCCUUCGGGUUGUGAACCUCUUUCGCCAGUGAAGCAGGCCUGCCUCGUUUGUGGGUGGGUUGACGGUAGCUGGAUAAGAAGCGCCGGCUAACUACGUG